GCUGGGCAUGGUGGUGCACGCCUGUAGUCCCAGCUACUUGGGAGGCUGAGAUGGGAGGAUUGCUUGAGCCUGGGAAAUCAAGGCUGCAGUGAGUUGAGAUCACGCCACUGCACUCCGGCCUGGGUGACAGAGUGAGACUCUGUCUCUA
This 148-nucleotide non-coding RNA is filed under the name Gorilla gorilla gorilla (western lowland gorilla). The record is from Rfam by way of RNAcentral. Lineage: Eukaryota; Metazoa; Chordata; Mammalia; Primates; Hominidae.